AACUGAUACUACCUGCGGGAACCUGCGGAAGGAUCAUUACAGAGUUGAAAAACUCCCUAAACCCUUUGUUUAUAUACCUGUUCAGUUGCUUCGGCAGGCGGCCCCAGGGCGGGGCCUCCGGCCUGCUUAGGCAGGUGCCUGCCGCUGGCGCAAAAACUCUUGUUAUAUGUUACCACUCUGAGUCUCAAAAAAAUGAAUCAAAACUUUCAGCAAUGGAUCUCUAGAUCGGAAGAGCACACG
RNAcentral lists this unclassified non-coding RNA (240 nucleotides) under soil metagenome. Its description in RNAcentral is "partial contains 5.8S ribosomal RNA, internal transcribed spacer 2, and large subunit ribosomal RNA". The record is from RNAcentral.